Long non-coding RNA from Planococcus citri (citrus mealybug), 472 nucleotides. RefSeq lists it as uncharacterized. NCBI's taxonomy places the organism in Eukaryota, Metazoa, Arthropoda, Insecta, Hemiptera, Pseudococcidae. The record is from RefSeq and is a predicted model, not a curated record. The transcript has 2 exons.
AAAAGUAUUCAUAAAACCGUUAUUUUUACGCGAAAUGAUAAAAAUUAUACAUCAAUCGAUAGGGAAUUUCACUGUCUUUAAUUUGAGACCACAUUCAAGUUCACCAGCAUCCGCGAACAAUCGAAAAAGUUGGACUUUUUACAUAAAAACUUCGAAAUCCGUGUAUUUUUAAUAGCACAGAGGAAUGUUUUGCCUACCAGGACUACCAGGAGUGAUAAGAACAGGCAGAGAGUAUGCAACCCGCGGAUUGUAGAAAAGCCCAAAUUUCUUUUAUCUAAUUUUUGCCGGUUGGCGCUGAAAAGUGGUUGUGAAAGUGAAUCUGAAUGAUGAAUUUAGAAUUUAUCAUUGUUUUACUAAUAACAUGGAGUUGUGAUGGGAAUCUGGCUGGAGUCGUGAGAGGAAUCUGGUUGGAGUCGUGAGAGGAUCCUAAGAUGAGUCGUGAGUGGAAUCUGAAUCGGAGUCGCGAAAGGAA